AUUGAAUUUGACUUCUGCGUGGCGGACAUCAUGGAUUUCAGUAAUGGCGAGUGGAGUGCGCUGUUCUAAUAAUUGAGAGAAGUGUAAUUUUAUUAAUGCAUUUAUUUAAGUGUUGAUAUAUGAAAUUCUCUUAAUACUAUGGCUGAUUUAUUCGAUAUCGCAAACCUAAUAACCACAGUGGGUGUGGACGCUGUAAAAAUUAAACCAGAGCCUGGCUUGCCGCAAAAAUCAUCCAACGAGAUUUUGACAGAACUUUUCAGCACAUUUGAUGCUGACGAGGGAAUAGUAUCUCCAGAACAUAGCGAUACUCAGAUUCCAGAUAAAGAAAUAAAAGUAGAAAAGCAAGAUAAAAGUAAAAAAAAGAAGAGUAAAAAGAAGCAUAAGCAUAAGGAUAAAAAACAUAAGAAAAAAUCCAAAAAAAAUUCAUCAGACAGUAAUAGUGAUGCGGAGAAUGGAAGUACGAAAAAGAAAAAGAAACAUAAGAAGAAGUCUAAACGCAGACAUGACUCUGUAUCCAGUAAGUCAUCAGAUUCGGAGGAGCCCAAGGCUAAAAUGAAGAAGGUUGAAGAUAUUCCUGAUUCGAAGAACAAUGCAGAACAGAAAACAGGGGAAUUAAAUAAUAUAGAAAAUAUUUUGGUCCAAGACACAAAAUUACAGGAUCACUCAAUAGUGAAAAAAGAACCACAAGACAAUGAAUCUCUUAUGAAAACUAGUAGUCCUCAACUACCCCCUAUUUCUAAGAAGACAGAUGAUGAAUCUGAUGAAACUAUAAUUUCAAAAAUUUUGGAAAAACCUAAACAAGGAACUCAAGGAAAAAUUUUGAUAAAAGACCUUAAAAAUAGUAUAGUCUAUAAUGAAACAGUAAAAGAAGUAGAAAAUAAAGAGCGUGCGAAAGCUGCACGAAUGGAAGAUGGUGAAUUAAGUGAUAGUAGCGAAGACAAUGGAACCCCAACAUUAAGUCCAACACCACCACGAAAUGAUUCACCAAGAACUGGAUUGAUAAGUCCAAUUUUAAAUAAAUCUAAUAAGACGAGUCUCAGUCCAAUAGCGGUACAUGAUUUGAGGCUCGUUUUAAAGGAGAAGGAAAAGAAGAGGUUGAAGGAUGUGAAUGGAUCAAGAUUGCAAAGUAAUCGAAAAGAAAACAAAAGUUAUAAAGAAUCAAAGGAUAAAGAUAGUAGGCACAGUCGUAGCAGCAGAUCUCGUGAGAGAAAACGUUCAGAAUCUGAAACACAUUCGAAUUCACGUCACAGCAGGAGUCGAACAAGUGUCGAGAAACGAACUGGACGAAGUAAAGAAAGACGAAAUAGAGAUAAAAGUAUCGAUAGAUGUGAUCACGAAAGAAAUAAGGAUAAGAGAAAGUAUGCGAGAGAUGAAAAGGAAAGGCAUAGGAGUCGCAGUGAAGAUAAGAAUAGAAAUAAAUCUUUGAGAGGACGUAGCAGAAGUAGAGAAAGAAAAGAACGCAUUGAAAUUGAUAAGAAGAAACUUUUGGAAAUUGCAAGGCGGAAUGCAAUUAACAUGAUAAAACAAGGGACUCUGCCACUUGCACAGCAGGAUAAAGCCAUAGCUGCUAUUCAGGAUGGUGGAAAGUCUGUAGAUGAACUGACAGAUUUCUGCAAAUCCCUGUCAAAGUCUGAAGCAUUAGGCGAAUUGUCGAGCAUUUCUUCAGACGAUGAUGGGAGUAGUUCAGAAAAAGGUUUUCAUCACCCGUUUCUUGUAAAGGAUAGACCCAGUUCUAUAAUAAUGAAUAUUAAAGAUGCUAAGCAAUUGCCUACUAAAACGUUCCAAGAGAAAACAGCUGAAUCCUCAAAUCAGUUACGAUUACAAUUUCCUGUUUCAAGUGGACAGCAUCAUCGUAAGACUGAGAGUGAAUGGGUACCAGUUAUCCCAAAGAAGCCAGAACCAAAGAAAGCAUUUCUACCAGCUAGUGCACCACUAAUAUCAGUUCCACCAGCACCUCUUCCUAUAUUACCACCACCAGUUCCUGCACCUGUGAUUCAACCUGCAGUUUUUCCACAAACUCCACCAAUAGAGAAUGUUGACAUAGGUUCAAUAGUAUCUCAACGAUUAGCAGCUAUGAGAAAAUUAAGAGAAAAUCCAAAUGACGUACAGGCUCUUGGUGAAAUGUAUAGAGCUCAAACAGAGAUGAAAACGUGGGCAGAGAGUAAGCAGAUGCCAGGUCAGUUUACUGGUAGUACGGGAGCUAAAGUGCUCUCGGCAGCUGAACUUUCUGCAGGUUAUCAAGCCUGGGCUCGUAAGGUAACAACACUGAUUUGUAAUACUUGCUUAAUAUAUCCUUCCUUUUUUCUGCCUGUCCAUUUCACAAUACCUGUUUUAACAGUCAUUUAUCGAAUACAGCAAAUUACUUGUCAAACUGUAUUUACAUUGUAUAUCAUAUAUUGUAUAGAAUUUUCACCAAUUCUAUCCCAAAAUUGCCAUGAACAGCACUGCAAAUACAUAUGAUAAAUGAAUUUGCGUGAAAGAUAUUGAUUAAGAAAAAAACAGAUAUUGUUGACAUCACUUAAAACUGACAUUGUCUGUAACAAGUUUUCAGGUACAGUCUCGGUGAAGACCAUUUAGAUUUUGUAUCUUUGGUCUAAUGGAGACUGUGUUGUAGGCACAGACCAUUUCUCGCGUAGAGGUGGACUCUGUGCCUGCACGGACACAAGAGUACCAUUGUCGCAGUCAUAUUUAUCAUUUGUGUAAUAAAAUUUGUGUAUCGGGAGAACCUCACCGUGGGGGUGGAGGGGGGGGGGCGAGGAAUUAUUAUUUAUUGGCGUCAAUCUUGUCAAUGGCAAUGGACCCCUGUGAGAUUAUUGCUAAAUACCAUCAGCUUGCUGUCAUAAGGUUUUUUCAGCGAUUGCGUGAUGACCUCAUGACAAUAAAGCUGGGAUUUUAGCAUUAGUCUGCAUCCACCUGAGGAUUUGUUACAGGCACGUAGCUACAUCAGAGAAGAGUCAGCCUCAGCAGCCCGAUGACCAAAUUAAACCUUCUUCUUGGAUCAAUUAGUGUCGGCACAACCAGUGUCAGGUGGGAUGGGUAUGGCCUUACUACAGAAGAUGGGUUGGAGGCCUGGGGAGGGUUUAGGGAAAAACAAAGAAGGUACUUUGGAACCAUUGCAACUGGAAGUUAAGUUGGAUAAACGAGGAUUGGUUUCUGAGCAGGAUAUUACUAAAAAAUCAGGGAAGACUUCAAAGCCUGUGAUACCAAGAAUCAAGACAUUGGAAGGAAAACAUCCAGUGUCUCUGUUAGGGGAAUAUUGUUCAAAACGUAAAUUUGGUGCACCAGUUUAUGAACUGUGCUUCGAAUGUGGUCCAGAUCAUAUGAAGAAUUUCUUGUUUAAAGUAAAAGUAAACGGUAUUGAGUACAAACCAAGUGUAGCCAGUCCAAAUAAAAAGCAGGC
This is an RNA transcript of Cephus cinctus (wheat stem sawfly), 3400 nucleotides long. It is a transcript of the gene named protein SON, with no coding region annotated. The transcript has 12 exons. The record is from RefSeq and is a predicted model, not a curated record. NCBI's taxonomy places the organism in Eukaryota, Metazoa, Arthropoda, Insecta, Hymenoptera, Cephidae.